Molecule: long non-coding RNA, 482 nt
Filed under: Monodelphis domestica (gray short-tailed opossum)
Lineage: Eukaryota; Metazoa; Chordata; Mammalia; Didelphimorphia; Didelphidae
Description: lncRNA (ENSMODG00000037313.1)
Source: RNAcentral
AUGGAAGGUAUUUCUCAAGGAACCAUGACUUUUCCUCAGGGAACCCUAAGUAAGUUAUUUAUCUGUCUUAACUCUAUUAUCCUAACAGGGUCUGCCUUAUUUGUUUCUAUUUCUAGGCAAAAUAAGAACAAAAUUCAUUUUCUCUUGCUUUCCAUCACCCAGCAUUGCACUGUUACUGUAAAUCCUGUGGAAAAAAUGGAAACUCGAUUGAUUAACAUAUAAAGGAAAGAACCAGUAAAAAUAUAUGUAUAUAAACCUUUGAACAUAUAUUAAUAUAUUAUGUAUGUUUUAUAUAUACAUUUUUGUUACACAUACAUGAACCAGUAAAUAUAUAUUAUUUACAUGUAAAUAUAUUGGCACAGUGGAUAGAAUACUGGGCUAGAAGUCAGGAAGACCUGAAUUCAAGCCUAAUCUCAGAUAUUUAUUAAAUGUGUCCCUGAGUAAAUCAUUUUAAUUCUGUUUACCUCAGUUUCCUCAUCUGU